AUAUUAUUAAGCGGAGGAAAAGAAACUAACAAGGAUUCCCUCAGUAACGGCGAGUGAAGUGGGAAAAGCUCAAGCUGAAAAUCGGGGCGCAAGCUUCGAAUUGUAGUCUAGAGACGCAAUCUCAGUCCAAGUCCGGGUUUAAUUGUCUUGGAAAAGGCAGACAGAGAGGGUGAUAUCCCCGUAUGUGGCCCAGAUCCUUGGAUGUACGAGUUGUGCUCAACGAGUCGGGUUGUUUGGGAUUGCAGCCCUAAUUGGGUGGUAAGUUUCAUCCAAAGCUAAAUAUCUACCAGAGACCGAUAGCGCACAAGUA
This 310-nucleotide ribosomal RNA is filed under the name uncultured eukaryote. RNAcentral's name for it is "partial large subunit ribosomal RNA". It matches the Rfam family "Eukaryotic large subunit ribosomal RNA", at positions 40 to 350 of the family's 3401-position model. The record is from RNAcentral.